Molecule: ribosomal RNA, 460 nt
Filed under: uncultured bacterium
Lineage: Bacteria
Description: SSU rRNA
Rfam family: Bacterial small subunit ribosomal RNA
Source: RNAcentral
AGAAUCAACGCUGGCGGCGUGCCUAACGCAUGCAAGUCGAACGAGAAAGUGGGAGCAAUCCCAUUAGUAAAGUGGCGCACGGGUGAGUAACACGUGACUAACCUACCCUUGAGUGGGGGAUAACCUAGGGAAACCUGGGCUAAUACCGCAUAAUACCUACGGGUCAAAGGAGCAAUUCGCUUUAGGAGGGGGUCGCGGCAGAUUAGUUAGUUGGCGGGGUAAUGGCCCACCAAGACAGUGAUCUGUAUCCGGCCUGAGAGGGCGCACGGACACACUGGAACUGAAACACGGUCCAGACUCCUACGGGAGGCAGCAGUGGGAAUUUUGCGCAAUGGGGGAAACCCUGACGCAGCAACGCCGCGUGGAGGAUGAAGCCCCUUGGGGCGUAAACUCCUUUCGAUCGGGAAGAUAAUGACGGUACCGGAAGAAGAAGCCCGGCUAACUUCGUGCCAGCAGCCGC